CCUCUCUCUCUAGGGACUGGAACCUGGCAGGCAGUGCGUCCCGAGCCCAGACUCCCGCCCGCUCGCCGAUCUCAAGCCACGGACCGCAGAGGUAGCCCGCGGGGUCCGAGCAAGGCGGGAAGCUUGUCCGCACCGCCGGCGGCCGUGGAAUCCCACCUUACCGGGCGCUGGGCACGUCCACCGGCCCGAGGCCACCGCCGGGCCCGGGCCGCGCGUCCCCGCCGUACUUCUCCUCCAUGCAGGCUCAGGAGCCGCUGCCCGCGCCGCGGGCUCUCCUCAUGGCUCGCCGCCGCUGCGGAAGCGCGGGCGCAGGCGCGUCACUCCCCCAUGUCAGCAGCGUCCUCGCAAGCUCGGCAGUCUCCGCCGCUAGCCCGGGCUCGGCAAGCAGGCACACGCACGCUGGGCGGGACUAGGCCGCGGGCUGUUCCGGCAGCGCCGUUCCCCGGAGGCCGUACGGGCAGGAACGUUACCGGGCCACGUCAUCCGCCCCGGCAGCCCUCACUCCCGGGGGAGUGACCAAUCCUGCGCCUGCGCGCUGGUGGACACGUGGCUUCGCUUCACUCAGGCUCCUCCCACCGCUGGGAAGGCUCCGCUCGACCCGCCCCCUCCUCGCGUCUUCAAGAGAAGCCCCUAAGAGGUCCCUGCAGCGCCACCUAAGGUCCAUCUUGGCUACAGCGUGUUCUCCUCGCUCGAGGGAUGGAUGGAUGGUCCCCUAGAAAAUGCAUAUUUGUGUUAACAAACAGAGCUUAGCCCUUUGCUUCAGGGUUCUUCUUUCUUAAACGGCUUCACUUUGUAGCCCAGAUAGACCUAGAACUCAGCAUGUAGCCCAGGCUAGCCUCAUAAACCUGGAUGAUGAAUUUCAGGCGUGAGCCACAUAUAGGCGUUGCUAACUCAAGUGCAUUAACGGUUUUUUUUUGUUUUUUUUUUUUUUUUUUUUCUAAUGAGAAAGCUAAAAGUUUUUUGAAGUGCCUGUGACUCCCACAAAGAGAUUAUUAUUUUUGGAUUUCUGAUGAUACGAUAACGCAGAGUGGGAGGCUAAAACAAUGGAGAAAGGCAACUGCUUGUGGAUUUAAUUGUUGGGCAGGAGUACAGGCUAACCUGCUCAAGUGUGUGAGAGGGAACACAGAAGGAAGGGGCUACAGGUGUGCUAUUGUAAACAAUUUUAUUCCCUUUCUAAAAAUAUUGAUUUUCUUCAAUCCUGUCUUUGAAAUGAUAUUACUUAGUGUAGACAUAUCUAUAUAAAAGCUAUUUUUUUACAGGU
RNAcentral lists this long non-coding RNA (1261 nucleotides) under Mus musculus (house mouse). RNAcentral's name for it is "long non-coding RNA chr13:100832939-100834200". The record is from RNAcentral. Lineage: Eukaryota; Metazoa; Chordata; Mammalia; Rodentia; Muridae.